CCUACGGGUGGCAGCAGUGAGGAAUAUUGGUCAAUGGGCGCGAGUCUGAACCAGCCAAGUAGCGUGAAGGAUGACUGCCCUAUGGUUUGUAAACUUCUUUUAUAUGGGAAUAAAGUGUUCCACGUGUGGGAUUUUGUAUGUACCAUAUGAAUAAGGAUCGGCUAACUCCGUGCCAGCAGCCGCGGUAAUACGGAGGAUCCGAGCGUUAUCCGGAUUUAUUGGGUUUAAAGGGAGCGUAGUUGGGUUGUUAAGUCAGUUGUGAAAGUUUGCGGCUCAACCGUAAAAUGGCAGUUGAAACUGGCAGUCUUGAGUACAGUAGAGGUAGGCGGAAUUCGUGGUGUAGCGGUGAAAUGCUUAGAUAUCACGAAGAACUCUGAUUGCGAAGGCAGCUUACUAGACUGCAACUGACACUGAGGCUCGAAAGUGUGGGUAUCAAACAGGAUUAGAUACCCUAGUAGUC
This 460-nucleotide ribosomal RNA is filed under the name uncultured bacterium. Its description in RNAcentral is "partial 16S ribosomal RNA". It matches the Rfam family "Bacterial small subunit ribosomal RNA", at positions 338 to 795 of the family's 1533-position model. The record is from RNAcentral.